Tarenaya hassleriana is the source of this 3223-nucleotide RNA transcript. It is a transcript of the gene named transcription factor GTE4-like, with no coding region annotated. The transcript has 6 exons. NCBI's taxonomy places the organism in Eukaryota, Viridiplantae, Streptophyta, Magnoliopsida, Brassicales, Cleomaceae. The record is from RefSeq and is a predicted model, not a curated record.
AAAAUAGAACGCGGCUGCAUAAGCAUAUUCCCUUAUCGACAGAGAAGGAAGGGAGAAGAUUUUGCCGUCGAGACGGAAAGGUGAAGAGCUCCGAUCCGAACCCUAAUUUUCCUUCUGGGUCGUGGAUUUUUUCUCCGGUUCUCUUAUCUCGCAUCGUAGAUCGGAGUAAUUAUUGUUACGUCGCGGUUUCCGGAGAAGAAACCCUAGUUUCAUUCGAGAGGUUUCCAUCUGGAAAUUAGGGUUUGGUUUUCGUUUACUGUAGCCGAAAUCAAUUUCAUGCUGUUUUGACGGAGGGUUUCUGUUCGUUCUGGAGCGGAGAGAAGAGAAGCGAGCAUCAAUCGAGCGGGAAAAAGACAGGGCUUUCAGUUGGGGUUUUCGGGAUACAUGUAUGGCUUCGAGGCCUGUUAACGGCGAAGGAAAUGAUGUUGCUAAGGAGACGCAAAGCUUUAAAGUUUACACGAGGAAAGACAGACGGCAGAGAAAGCGGACGCCGAGCGUUGUCGUCGCUGACGACCGUGAUAAGCCGGAGGCGAAGGUGGAAGAUGGGGAUGGUAGUAAUCGACUGAACCCUCCUGUAGCACUAGCUGAGAAUUCUGUGGAUUCUAUCGUUGUGGGAAAGAAUUCUGUUGAAGCUGUUGCUCCGGGGACCGUUUCGCAGGAGGACGCAAAGGCCUCAAUUGAAGAGCCCUCUGAGAACCCAUGCAUAAAUGAUUCAGAUAAAGCUGUUGAAGCGCUUCCUCGAGCCGAAGUUCUAGAUGUUCCGCCUAUGUCCUCUAUGGACAAGACUAAGAUACAUCCAUGCCCAUACCCGUUACCUGAAGAUGACGCAAAGGCUGUUGUCGUUGAGAAGUUUGUCGAAGUACCCUUUGAAAGCCAGGCUCAAGAAGAUGUCAAUACCGUGGUUAUCGAUAAGAGCUCUAUUGAAACAUCUCCUAAAGCCCUAGCCCUAGAAGAUGUCGGUAUUGUGGUUGUUGACAAGAACACUAUUGAAGCUUCUCCUCAAACCCUAUCUCAGGGAGGUGCCCAUGCUGUUGUUGACAAGAAUCCCAUUGAAGUGCCUUCUGAAGAACAUGUUAAUGUUGCAGCUGUAGACAACUCUGCAGUUGAAGUACCUUUAGAAAGCCUCACCCAGCGGGAUACAAGUGAUGCUCUGCAACAUGCAUUAGUUCCCUUUGAAUCUGUGCCAGUCCCUGAACCUUUGCAGGUCAUGGCACCAAGCACCCGUUCUGUUGUAACUGGAAGUGCACCAAUGGAGGAGGCCUCGGAUGACCGUGUUAGGAUACAUUUGGCCUCUAGCUCAAGGGAACAGAAGGAGGAGAUUAGGAAGAAGCUUGAGGAUCAGCUUAACUUGGUCAGAGGGUUGGUAAGGAGGGUAGAGGCUAAAGAGGGCGAGAUUGGUGCGUAUAAUUAUUCACGGGUUUUGGCAAAUGCUGGGGUCAAUAAUGGAGGGGGUAGGAUACUUACUGGAUUUGUUUCAGCAGGUCGACAGUUCGAGGUUGUCAGAGCAUCAAGGCCUUUACACCAACUCAGUAUAUCAGUUUUGGAGAACAGUCAGGGCAUGAUUGAGCAUGUGGAGAAAGAGAAAAGAACACCCAAGGCAAAUCAGUUCUACAAAAAUUCGGAGUUCUUGCUUGCAAAUGAGAAGUUUCCCCCUACCGAGAGUAACAAGAAAUCAAAAUCAAGCGCACAUAAGCUCAGCGGAGAGCUUGGUCACGGGUUUAGACCAGGUUCUAAAGUUUUCAAGGCUUGCAGUGCUCUACUUGAAAGACUGAUGAAGCACAAGUAUGGUUGGGUGUUUAAUGCCCCUGUUGAUGUGAAUGGUCUUGGUUUGCAUGAUUACUUCACCAUUAUUAAAUAUCCGAUGGAUUUGGGAACUGUCAAGUCCAGGUUAACAAAGAAUUGGUACAAGUCACCCGGAGAAUUUGCGGAGGAUGUGAGACUUACUUUUCAAAAUGCUAUGACCUACAACCCGAAAGGGCAAGAUGUCCAUGCCAUGGCAGAACAAUUAUCAAUGAUAUUUGAGGACAAAUGGGCUGUGAUAGAGGCAGAGUAUUACAAGGUGAAUCUUGCAACCCCUACAUCAAGAUUGGCUCCUGCAAUGCCACCACCCCCUAUUAAUGUGAAGAAUUUGAUGGAUAGAUCGGAUUGGAGUAGUCGCCCUGUUGAGAUGCAGCCAAAACCAGCCAGUACGACGCCUUCUGGCAGGACACCUGCUCUGAAAAAGCCCAAGGCUAAUGAGCCGAAUAAGAGAGAUAUGACAUUUGAGGAGAAGCAGAAGCUUAGUGCUAACUUGCAGAAUUUGCCCACAGAUAAACUUGAUGCGAUUGUGCAAAUUGUUAAGAAGAGGAAUACUGCGGUGAAGUUACGGGAUGAGGAAAUCGAAGUUGAUAUUGACAGUGUUGAUCCGGAGACUCUUUGGGAGUUGGACAGGUUUGUUACCAACUACAAAAAGAGCCUAAGCAAAAAAAAGAGAAAGGCUGAGCUCGCUAUUCAAGCCAGGGCAGAGGCUGAGAGGAACGCCCAGCAGAUGAAUGCAGCACCGGUGGCAGUGGGGCUUGCCAGGGAGGGUGGGACAGCAGCUCAAAAGAGUAUCCCAACACCAUUGCUUUCUCGAGCAGAGAAGCCAAGUAAUGAGGAGAGCAGAUCUAGUAGUUCAAGCAGCUCAACUAGUGAUUCCAGCUCCUCUUCUAGUGACUCGGAUAGCGAUAGCUCUUCAUCAUCUGGAUCAGAUCAGACAUAGACAUAUUGUACAAGGGAGUCCACAAAUGCUUCAGCAUAUCCUGCAUUUAGAUGCUUGUCUGGACAUAAUCCUGCGAGUUUUCUGAUCAGCUAGACAUUCUUCUGCCUCUCUGUGUUUGUUGGAGAGAGAGGGCAUGCAUAUUUAUCCUAUUCCUCUAAGGAGAAAAAAGUAGGGUAGAGGAUGACCUUAGGGGGAUGGGUUUAAAGGUGAUGAUGAUAUGUGUACAGAACAAAGUAAAGAUUGGAGAGCGUCCUCUGACGUUUUGGAAGAUUGGAGUUUUCAGUCUUUGUGUAAAAUGUUCGGUUAGGAGUUUGUGUGGUGUCUCUUGGUCCAACUAUCAUCAUUUUGUACAUCCCAUCCUAAACUCUUACUCUUAGGGCUUAGCACUCCUCUCUCUUUUGGGUUUUUUUUAGGGUUUUUGAUCAGCUGAUUCAGGAUUCUUUUGCAACUGAAAUGAUGAUACGAUGGAACUCGUCUUCUACU